GCAUGCUUAGCUCAAUUGGAUAGAGCGCCUGACUUCGGAUCAGUAGGUUGUGGGUUCGAGUCCUACAGCGUGCG
This 74-nucleotide transfer RNA is filed under the name Natranaerovirga pectinivora. Its description in RNAcentral is "Clostridiales bacterium AP3 tRNA". It matches the Rfam family "tRNA". Rfam says of the family: Transfer RNA (tRNA) molecules are approximately 80 nucleotides in length. Their secondary structure includes four short double-helical elements and three loops (D, anti-codon, and T loops). The record is from Rfam by way of RNAcentral. Lineage: Bacteria; Bacillati; Bacillota; Clostridia; Lachnospirales; Natranaerovirgaceae.